Molecule: ribosomal RNA, 1133 nt
Filed under: Klebsiella pneumoniae
Lineage: Bacteria; Pseudomonadati; Pseudomonadota; Gammaproteobacteria; Enterobacterales; Enterobacteriaceae
Description: bacterial SSU rRNA
Rfam family: Bacterial small subunit ribosomal RNA
Source: RNAcentral
AAAUUGAAGAGUUUGAUCAUGGCUCAGAUUGAACGCUGGCGGCAGGCCUAACACAUGCAAGUCGAGCGGUAGCACAGAGAGCUUGCUCUCGGGUGACGAGCGGCGGACGGGUGAGUAAUGUCUGGGAAACUGCCUGAUGGAGGGGGAUAACUACUGGAAACGGUAGCUAAUACCGCAUAACGUCGCAAGACCAAAGUGGGGGACCUUCGGGCCUCAUGCCAUCAGAUGUGCCCAGAUGGGAUUAGCUAGUAGGUGGGGUAACGGCUCACCUAGGCGACGAUCCCUAGCUGGUCUGAGAGGAUGACCAGCCACACUGGAACUGAGACACGGUCCAGACUCCUACGGGAGGCAGCAGUGGGGAAUAUUGCACAAUGGGCGCAAGCCUGAUGCAGCCAUGCCGCGUGUGUGAAGAAGGCCUUCGGGUUGUAAAGCACUUUCAGCGGGGAGGAAGGCGCUAAGGUUAAUAACCUUGGCGAUUGACGUUACCCGCAGAAGAAGCACCGGCUAACUCCGUGCCAGCAGCCGCGGUAAUACGGAGGGUGCAAGCGUUAAUCGGAAUUACUGGGCGUAAAGCGCACGCAGGCGGUCUGUCAAGUCGGAUGUGAAAUCCCCGGGCUCAACCUGGGAACUGCAUUCGAAACUGGCAGGCUAGAGUCUUGUAGAGGGGGGUAGAAUUCCAGGUGUAGCGGUGAAAUGCGUAGAGAUCUGGAGGAAUACCGGUGGCGAAGGCGGCCCCCUGGACAAAGACUGACGCUCAGGUGCGAAAGCGUGGGGAGCAAACAGGAUUAGAUACCCUGGUAGUCCACGCCGUAAACGAUGUCGAUUUGGAGGUUGUGCCCUUGAGGCGUGGCUUCCGGAGCUAACGCGUUAAAUCGACCGCCUGGGGAGUACGGCCGCAAGGUUAAAACUCAAAUGAAUUGACGGGGGCCCGCACAAGCGGUGGAGCAUGUGGUUUAAUUCGAUGCAACGCGAAGAACCUUACCUGGUCUUGACAUCCACAGAACUUUCCAGAGAUGGAUUGGUGCCUUCGGGAACUGUGAGACAGGUGCUGCAUGGCUGUCGUCAGCUCGUGUUGUGAAAUGUUGGGUUAAGUCCCGCAACGAGCGCAACCCUUAUCCUUUGUUGCCAGCGGU